This 425-nucleotide ribosomal RNA is filed under the name uncultured bacterium. RNAcentral's name for it is "bacterial SSU rRNA". It matches the Rfam family "Bacterial small subunit ribosomal RNA", at positions 358 to 775 of the family's 1533-position model. The record is from RNAcentral.
GGAAUUUUGGACAAUGGGGGAAACCCUGAUCCAGCCAUCCCGCGUGUGCGAUGAAGGCCUUCGGGUUGUAAAGCACUUUUGGCAGGGAAGAAAAGGUUCUGGCUAAUACCCGGCACUGCUGACGGUACCUGCAGAAUAAGCACCGGCUAACUACGUGCCAGCCGCCGCGGUAAUACGUAGGGUGCAAGCGUUAAUCGGAAUUGCUGGGCGUAAAGCGUGCGCAGGCGGUUUGGCAAGAAGGAUGUGAAAUCCCGGGGCUUAACCUUGGAACUGCAUUCUUAACUGCCAGGCUAGAGUAUGUCAGAGGGGGGUAGAAUUCCGCGUGUAGCAGUGAAAUGCGUAGAGAUGCGGAGGAAUACCGAUGGCGAAGGCAGCCCCCUGGGAUAAUACUGACGCUCAUGCACGAAAGCGUGGGGAGCAAACAG